This 473-nucleotide long non-coding RNA is filed under the name Homo sapiens (human). RNAcentral's name for it is "non-protein coding lnc-PAFAH1B1-1:1". The record is from RNAcentral. Lineage: Eukaryota; Metazoa; Chordata; Mammalia; Primates; Hominidae.
CUUUAUGAAAACAGCCCCUUGUCAUUUGGGUCGUCAAAAGAUGUCUGAGGGCACUAAUACGCUUAAAGGAUCAGCCAGGAAAUAGGGGCCUCUCAGGUGACAAGGAGGCACAACCCUAACCAACCCCGAUCUGUUCUCAGCUUCACAGGAGGCCCUGUUUUGAGAGGUGCAUGAACAUGUGGCUCACGUUCAACAACAAACACUCAGGAGAGGGGACAGAAUGUUCAGGACACACCGAAUUUCCAAGACGUACAGAUCUCUCCAAGCAUCCCAAAAGGCGUAUGUUCCUGGUGGGGCCGAGGGCCUGCUCUUGGAGACAGAUGGCGAGCAGCGGUCAGCAGCUACUGAGAGCUCAACUUCCCCUCUAGAGACAGGCUCUGCCGCUCAAGUCCACCUGGGUCUUGGCUCUCUGAAUCCUGUCCGAGGGUGGCGAACUUGAGGCCCUCCUCCCUGCCCCCAGUGUCUCACCUCUG